Molecule: long non-coding RNA, 401 nt
Organism: Callithrix jacchus (white-tufted-ear marmoset)
Lineage: Eukaryota; Metazoa; Chordata; Mammalia; Primates; Cebidae
Source: RefSeq, a predicted model, not a curated record
AAAGGGACAGAACUAAUCGGAUAUACACAUAUUUGAAGGGAAGAUUAUUAGGAGAACUGACUCACACUAUCACAAGGUGAGGUACCACAAUAGGCCAUCUGCAAAGAGAGGAGCGAGGAAGCCAGUCUGAGUCCCCAAACCUCAAAAGUAGUUCCCCAACCUAAAAGACCCUCUUCUUUAAUCAUUUGAACCUUCUCUCCAGAGCCAGGAGAGGAAACACAUCAUUCAGGAAAAUGGACAGCCACAUUUUCUUUCAAGCUGAGCUGUUUCUCGUGGGUUUCUUGACAUGAGGCAAUGGCCAACAGGAAAUAUAGAACCAUCUUCUGCUCAAUAUAUGGGUCUCAGACUGGGUACCAGGAUAUACAGGAACUCCAAUUAUUAAAAGGACCAACUGAUCCUGU